GGAAUCUUCCACAAUGGGCGAAAGCCUGAUGGAGCAACGCCGCGUGUGUGAUGAAGGCUUUCGGGUCGUAAAGCACUGUUGUAUGGGAAGAACAGCUAGAAUAGGAAAUGAUUUUAGUUUGACGGUACCAUACCAGAAAGGGACGGCUAAAUACGUGCAAG
Molecule: ribosomal RNA, 161 nt
Filed under: uncultured bacterium
Lineage: Bacteria
Description: partial 16S ribosomal RNA
Rfam family: Bacterial small subunit ribosomal RNA
Source: RNAcentral